CUCCUCGCGUUCCCACGGGGGGGCGCCCGGGCUGCGCUUGUCUGGGGCGCCUGACGCCCGACGCCCGACGCCAGUCACGGCAGCGCCAGCGACCGGGGCGCCCGUUAGUUCAACACAGAUUUGUUUGUUGUUAUUUAUUUAUUUGACACGGAGUCACGCUCUGUCCCCAGGCCGGAGUGCAGUGGCGCGAUCUCGGCUCGCCGCAACGUCCGCCUCCCGGGUUCAAGCGAUUCUCCUGCCUCAGCCUCCUGAGUAGCUGGGACCACAGGCGCGCGCCACCACGCUUGGCUUAUUAUUAUUAUUUUUAAUUUUUUAAUUUUUUUUUUUUUUGUAUUUUUAGUAGAGACGGGGUUUCACCAUGCAUGCCAGGCUGGUCUCGAACUCCUGACCUCAGGUGAUCCACCCGCCUUGGCCUCCCAAAGUGCUGGGAAUCACAGACGGGAGCCACCGCGCCCCGCAUUUUUUUUUUUUGGUAUUUUUAGUAGAGAUGGAAUUUCGCAACGUUGGCCAGGCUGGUCUCGAACUCGUGACCUCAGGUGAUCCAUCUGCCUCACUCUUGUUAUUAUUUUGACACAGGAUCUCACUUUGUGGCCCAGGCUGGAGAGCAGCGGCGCGAUCUCGGCUCACCGCCACCUCUUCCUCCCAAGAGCUCAAGCGAUCCUCCCGCCUCGACCUCCCAAAGUGUUGGUGCCACAGGCACGCGUCACGCGCCGGCCAGCGGAUCUUUAUUGAGUGCCUGCUGCAUGCCAAGCGUUGUUUCCGGUGCCAAGGAGACAGCAGAGUGCAAGACAGAGUCAGGCUGGAGUGCAAUGGUGCCAUCUCAACUCACUGCAACUUCCGCCUCCCGGGUUCAAGUAAUUCUCCUGCCUCAGCCUCUGGAGCAGCUGGGAGUACAGGCAUGCGCCACUGAGCCCAGUUAAUUUAUGUAUUUUUAGUAGAGAUGGGGUUUCACCAUGUUGGCAAGGAUGGUCUCUAUCUCUUGACCUCAUGAUCUGCCCACCUUGGCCUCCCAAAGUGCUGGGAUGACAGGUGCACCCGGACAAAGGUUCUCACGUCUUUCAGGCGUUCGCUAAUGUUUCACUUCUUUGGUGGGUGGGUGGAGGGGCCUCCCAGGCCACUCUGCCCUGAAGUUUCAUUUCUGUGAUCGUGUCCCUGCACUCCGGCCUGAGCACAGAAUGAGAUCCUGUCUCAAAAAUAAAUAAAAGAGAGACGUGUGUGUUCA
Molecule: non-coding RNA, 1222 nt
Organism: Callithrix jacchus (white-tufted-ear marmoset)
Lineage: Eukaryota; Metazoa; Chordata; Mammalia; Primates; Cebidae
Source: RefSeq, a predicted model, not a curated record